UACUUUGCUCUUUGGGAUGCUCCUGGG
Molecule: non-coding RNA, 27 nt
Filed under: Mus musculus (house mouse)
Lineage: Eukaryota; Metazoa; Chordata; Mammalia; Rodentia; Muridae
Source: RNAcentral